UCGCUGUCUUAACCCGUGUAAUGCGUGU
Molecule: small RNA, 28 nt
Filed under: Bombyx mori (domestic silkworm)
Lineage: Eukaryota; Metazoa; Arthropoda; Insecta; Lepidoptera; Bombycidae
Description: ovarian small RNA-28861
Source: RNAcentral